CCCGCACAAGCGGAGGAACAUGUGGUUAAUUCGAUGAUACGCGAGGAACCUUACCCGGGCUUGAAAUGCAUCUGACGUAGGCAGAGACGUCUAUUCCCCUUCGGGGCAGACGUGUAGGUGCUGCAUGGUUGUCGUCAGCUCGUGCCGUGAGGUGUCGGCUUAAGUGCCAUAACGAGCGCAACCCUCAUCAUUAGUUACCAACAGGUCAAGCUGGGGACUCUAGUGAGACUGCCAUCGUAAGAUGUGAGGAAGGUGGGGAUGACGUCAAAUCAGCACGGCCCUUACGUCCGGGGCGACACACGUGUUACAAUGGGUGGUACAAAGGGCAGCUACCUGGCGACAGGAUGCUAAUCUCGAAAACCACUCUCAGUUCGGAUCGGAGUCUGCAACUCGACUCCCGUGAAGCUGGAUUCGCUAGUAAUCGCGCAUCAGCCAUGGCCGACGGUCGUAAUACGGUUCCCGGGCCUU
RNAcentral lists this ribosomal RNA (468 nucleotides) under uncultured Proteiniphilum sp. RNAcentral's name for it is "bacterial SSU rRNA". It matches the Rfam family "Bacterial small subunit ribosomal RNA", at positions 920 to 1382 of the family's 1533-position model. The record is from RNAcentral. Lineage: Bacteria; Pseudomonadati; Bacteroidota; Bacteroidia; Bacteroidales; Dysgonomonadaceae.